GACAUCGGGAAAUCUUCGGGUAGGCUAUGGUAAAAAUAAGUUAUGCAAAUCUGGUAAGAUCAGAUGAGGUAAAGUGAAUAACCGGAAUAAGUGACUCAACGUGUAUAAUACAAUAUAAGAUAUGAUUUGGCUGUUCUAUUCUGUUAGUAAAAUAUAGUGAUCGAAGGGCUAUUAAAUAGGUAGCGGGGAUAUAUAAAUUGCGUUGGAGUUCGCAGAUAAAUAAAUAUAAAUGAUUAAAAAAAUACCUAAUGGUGGUUCCGGGUGGUCAGUGUAUCGCCAAUGCCAAGAGAAAAAAAAAGGUACUUACUUUGCAUGAUUAUUAGUAUACUAUAGUACCUAUAGCUAAGGUACCUACUGUUCCUAUUUUUAACUAUUCGGUUGUGCCCAUUUAAUAAAUCUACAACUCGCUAUGAAAUUGCCAAAGUGAUUCAAGUACAGUACAAAUAAAACUUUCUCACUACACAGAACCGACGUUAUGAAAUAUUGAUAAUAACUCGUGGUUUUCAAAUUUGAAUUAUGU
Molecule: non-coding RNA, 520 nt
Organism: Cinara cedri
Lineage: Eukaryota; Metazoa; Arthropoda; Insecta; Hemiptera; Aphididae
Source: the annotation of a GenBank genome assembly